AAUAGAUACCCGGGUAGUCCACGCCGUAAACGAUGGAUGCUAGCUGUUAUGCGUAUCGACCCGUGUAGUAGCGAAGCUAACGCGUUAAGCAUCCCGCCUGGGGAGUACGAACGCAAGUUUAAAACUCAAAGGAAUUGACGGGGACCCGCACAAGCGGUGGAGCAUGUGGUUUAAUUCGAAGCAACGCGAAGAACCUUACCAGGGCUUGACAUCCCGCUGUCCCUCCUAGAGAUAGGAGCUCUCUUCGGAGCAGCGGUGACAGGUGGUGCAUGGUUGUCGUCAGCUCGUGUCGUGAGAUGUUGGGUUAAGUCCCGCAACGAGCGCAACCCUUGUCCUUAGUUGCCAGCAUUCAGUUGGACACUCUAGGGAGACUGCCGUCGACAAGACGGAGGAAGGUGGGGAUGACGUCAAAUCAUCAUGCCCCUUAUGUCCUGGGCUACACACGUGCUACAAUGGAUGGAACAACGGGCAGCCAACUCGCGAGAGUGCGCCAAUCCCUUAAAACCAUUCUCAGUUCGGAUUGCG
RNAcentral lists this ribosomal RNA (525 nucleotides) under uncultured bacterium. Its description in RNAcentral is "bacterial SSU rRNA". It matches the Rfam family "Bacterial small subunit ribosomal RNA", at positions 777 to 1302 of the family's 1533-position model. The record is from RNAcentral.